Molecule: ribosomal RNA, 497 nt
Filed under: uncultured bacterium
Lineage: Bacteria
Description: partial 16S ribosomal RNA
Rfam family: Bacterial small subunit ribosomal RNA
Source: RNAcentral
GAUAAACGCUGGCGGCGUGCCUAAUACAUGCAAGUCGAGCGAACAGACGAGGAGCUUGCUCCUCUGACGUUAGCGGCGGACGGGUGAGUAACACGUGGAUAACCUACCUAUAAGACUGGGAUAACUUCGGGAAACCGGAGCUAAUACCGGAUAAUAUAUUGAACCGCAUGGUUCAAUAGUGAAAGACGGUUUUGCUGUCACUUAUAGAUGGAUCCGCGCCGCAUUAGCUAGUUGGUAAGAUAACGGCUUACCAAGGCAACGAUGCGUAGCCGACCUGAGAGGGUGAUCGGCCACACUGGAACUGAGACACGGUCCAGACUCCUACGGGAGGCAGCAGUAGGGAAUCUUCCGCAAUGGGCGAAAGCCUGACGGAGCAACGCCGCGUGAGUGAUGAAGGUCUUCGGAUCGUAAAACUCUGUUAUUAGGGAAGAACAAAUGUGUAAGUAACUAUGCACGUCUUGACGGUACCUAAUCAGAAAGCCACGGCUAACUACGUG